Molecule: long non-coding RNA, 256 nt
Filed under: Manihot esculenta (cassava)
Lineage: Eukaryota; Viridiplantae; Streptophyta; Magnoliopsida; Malpighiales; Euphorbiaceae
Description: long non-coding RNA (MESC_LNC012660)
Source: RNAcentral
GGAGACAGGGGGACAGCCCCUUCUUCAGCAGGUUCCCGUGGAGAAGGUCCAUCAGCUCCAGCGCGGAUCUUCGCCAUGACUCAGCAGGAGGCUAACACAUCGAACCCGAUGGGAUCAGGUAAUCUCACUCUGGUGUGUUCUGGUGUGUCUGUUUCAUGAACCCUGAUGUUUCUCUUUUCUUUGUUUGCUUGUGAGCCCUUGUGAGGUUGGGUUGAUAGCUUAUGGGUUAGAGUAUUCCCUUGGGGUCAGUGCACCC